GACGUUGCUGUUGCUGUUCUGGUUUUUGUCGUCUCGGUCCGGUUUCACCUCCACCACAGUAACCGGAGGCUCUGCAGCUGAAAUACAAGGAAACUGAUGAUUGACUGAGCAGCAGCUAAAAUCCAACCUGUGUCUGCAAACAUAUUCAGGUCUGUUCUCACCUGGAGCAGGUGCUGCCUGACGGACCUGAGGAGAAACAAACAUGUGACCAAGAAUCAGUCAUUUGGAUCGGGAUGAAGACCUGAAACGGACAGGGUAGAGCUUCGUUCAGUUGAGACGACCAACAAGAGACGGGGAGGAGGCGCGUGCUUCUAUGUCAACAAAAGCUUGAGUCUGACUGCGUCAGAUCCCGGGGUCGUUAUCAGGACCUCACCUUGGCAGUGGAGUUUGCUCGGCUCAUUUUGGGUGAGACUGCAGGUUGAGGCAACGCGCCGCUGAUCCACGUCAACAUGCCGCUCUGAGACCCAGCUGUCGGGCUGAGGAUGUAAACGUUUAAAAUCAGGCUUUUUAUUCAUUCUCAGCUACGCAGCAUCCAUGGAGGUGUCAGUGGUCAACGUGUUGGGCGUCUCUUGUCUUACCUGAGUUGCUCAGUUGGGGUCCAGCAGCAUCCCACAGAGCUGCGGGGAAGAAGCCGUAUAGACCUGCAGGGAUCUGAACACUGUGGGAGGAUUACGUAGGAACUCUGCUAACAAGAUUACUAAGCCGAUGAAAGGCAGAGCGGGGCGAGACAUGGAAUCAGGUUACACUUUCAGAAACUGAACCAUGAAGGGAACCACAGUCCUCAAACCAAACCACAAUGGUUUCUCAAUAAAGUUUAGAUCUAUCCAGCAAUCGGACACCAAAUAACUAACGAAAAAAAACAAUCUUCCGAUGGGAAACCUUGGGUACCAUCGACAUAAACAUUAUCCCCGACCAAGAACAUCCCCUCUGUGCAAAUGGCAACAGCCCACCCCCCCAGUCAGUCACUCUUUGCGAUCUGCGUCGCCCUCAGUUUCACACACGGAGCAGACCCGGCUCUCGUUUCUCAGCUCUCAUAUCUCUGACGACAUUGAGUUUCUGAUUGUGUUAUCAGAGCCACAUAGACAGUCCUUAUUUUCUUUUUCUGCCCCUCAGAGUUCAGCUCGUCCCUUCGAGGGCAGCUUGAACUCAGCUCGCAUUCCUCUGGAUGUGAACCUCCUCACCUCCCAGCAAGAAAACACCCUUCAUCAGGCCUCUUCACUUUUACAGAACAGCUUUCAAAGGAGGAAUCACAGAGCAACAAAGCGCCCAAGGUGUUGAUUGGACUGGGGAUGAGAAUUGUAGAAUUGGAGGAAUUGGAGACUUCACUGACUCAAGCAGUGGACUUCAGGUUUCUCACGGUCUUCUUCUUGAGUAAGGGGAAAUACCAGUGUGACACUGACAGAUUGUACUGGUCUGUAGUGGUGAAACUGAGCGUAAAGCUUCCUCUGGGCUUAGAGGGCUGAGGAGGGGCAGACCUGCUACUCCUCUAUAUCGAAAGCUGGCUUGACCAUCUGACUGGGACACGUCCUGAAUGACUCCUAGUUGAGGUGUUUUGGGCAAAGAACAGACAAGGGGCAGAAAAUUAAAAAGCUUUCUUAAAAGAAUCUUUUUAGGUUCUGUUUUUAAUGAUUUAUUUCUCUGUUAUUAAAAUUCCACCUGCU
Long non-coding RNA from Oreochromis aureus, 1661 nucleotides. The record is from Ensembl. NCBI's taxonomy places the organism in Eukaryota, Metazoa, Chordata, Actinopteri, Cichliformes, Cichlidae.